GUCUACUUGAACUUCGGUUUGGGUGGCGGACGGGUGAGUAACGCGUAAAGAACUUGCCUCACAGACCGGGACAACAUUUGGAAACGAAUGCUAAUACCGGAUAUUAUGAGAUAUGCGCAUGCAUAACUUAUGAAAGCUAUAUGCGCUGUGAGAGAGCUUUGCGUCCCAUUAGCUAGUUGGAGAGGUAACGGCUCACCAAGGCGAUGAUGGGUAGCCGGCCUGAGAGGGUGAACGGCCACAAGGGGACUGAGACACGGCCCUUACUCCUACGGGAGGCAGCAGUGGGGAAUAUUGGACAAUGGACCAAGAGUCUGAUCCAGCAAUUCUGUGUGCACGAUGAAGUUUUUCGGAAUGUAAAGUGCUUUCAGUUGGGAAGAAGAAAGUGACGGUACCAACAGAAGAAGCGACGGCUAAAUACGUGCCAGCAGCCGCGGUAAUACGUAUGUCGCAAGCGUUAUCCGGAUUUAUUGGGCGUAAAGCGCGUCUAGGCGGCAUAGUAAGUCUGAUGUGAAAAUGCGGGGCUCAACUCCGUAUUGCGUUGGAAACUGCUAUGCUAGAGUACUGGAGAGGUAAGCGGAACUACCAGUGUAGAGGUGAAAUUCGUAGAUAUUUGUAGGAAUGCCGAUGGUGAAACCAGCUUACUGGACAGAUACUGACGCUAAAGCGCGAAAGCGUGGGUAGCAAACAGGAUUAGAUACCCU
RNAcentral lists this ribosomal RNA (701 nucleotides) under uncultured bacterium. Its description in RNAcentral is "bacterial SSU rRNA". It matches the Rfam family "Bacterial small subunit ribosomal RNA", at positions 61 to 788 of the family's 1533-position model. The record is from RNAcentral.